This 468-nucleotide ribosomal RNA is filed under the name uncultured bacterium. RNAcentral's name for it is "partial 16S ribosomal RNA". It matches the Rfam family "Bacterial small subunit ribosomal RNA", at positions 28 to 507 of the family's 1533-position model. The record is from RNAcentral.
GACGAACGCUGGCGGCGUGCUUAACACCUGCAAGUCGAACGGAAAGGCCCUGCUUUUGUGGGGUGCUCGAGUGGCGAACGGGUGAGUAACACGUGAGUAACCUGCCCUUGACUUUGGGAUAACUUCAGGAAACUGGGGCUAAUACCGGAUAGGAGCUCCUGCUGCAUGGUGGGGGUUGGAAAGUUUCGGCGGUUGGGGAUGGACUCGCGGCUUAUCAGCUUGUUGGUGGGGUAGUGGCUUACCAAGGCUUUGAUGGGUAGCCGGCCUGAGAGGGUGACCGGCCACAUUGGGACUGAGAUACGGCCCAGACUCCUACGGGAGGCAGCAGUGGGGAAUAUUGCACAAUGGGCGGAAGCCUGAUGCAGCAACGCCGCGUGCGGGAUGACGGCCUUCGGGUUGUAAACCGCUUUCGCCUGUGACGAAGCGUGAGUGACGGUAAUGGGUAAAGAAGCACCGGCUAACUACGUG